ACUAGACACAGCUGACUCCCAGUUUCUGGAAAAUGCGAGCAAAUGUCUUAUUGUUAGGUUAUGUGCCGCUUAGAGGACGUGCAAGUCUUCAAAUGACCUUGAUUAGUAAAGGGGUUUGGCGUGAGAGGGAAAGAGUGUGUCUUUUAUACCAUCCUGAAGUGAAAGUUUAGCAUUUGCAUUUCCGAACUUCAUCACAGCAGUGGAUUUUCUCCAGGCCAACAACACAACCUGACUGAAUAUUAGGUGUGUGUAUGAGGUAUAAAGCCAUUGUCAAGGAAUAGCAAAACAAAAGGAAGCUAUGUUUCUCCUCAGUUGCAGGAUUAAAGACCGGAAAUUUCUUGCCACUCACUGAACUAUGCCAUUCAUUGUUUAUGAAGAUCUGCAGAGAAGGAGAAAAGAAUGCAUGUACCUUUUCUAGCUGUUCUUGAGUGAAGAUGGAACCUGUUAACUCUUGGCCUGAAAAUUUGCUAUUAGAUUUAGACCCAGUAGUGAAGCUCUGUUACCUACCAAAAAUUUUAAAGUGGAAAAUACUUCGGAGUUUUAGUCUUUCAGAAGGAUGGCAGGCCAAUGAAAUGAUUCAUGGACUCCUGAGCUCCUGAUCCCAGACUUAGACAGCCAACUUGGAAUACACUUUAGAGGACAUCUGAAUGACUAAUACCCUAGGCACAUCUCUCCAAGAGGGCUCUUGAUUGAGCCCUAAAUCCAAUGACAGCGCCUUAAUAAAAGUCAUACGGAGGAGAGACUGGGAGAAGAGGAGAGGCCAUGUGAAGACUGAGACAGAGAUUGAGUGACACAUCUACAGUCCAGGAACACCUGGAGCCACCAGAAGCUGGAAGAGACAAAGUAAAAUUCCCCUCCAGCUUUUAGAAAGAGAAGGGUCCUCCUAACACCUUGACUUCAGACUUCUGGCCUCCAGAUUGUGAGCUAAUAUAGUCCUGUUGCUGAGUUGUAGGAGUUCUUUGUAUCGUCUAGCUAUUAAUCCUUUGUAACCCACCAAGUUUGUGAUGAUUUGUUACAACAUCCCUUGGAAACUAAUAUACCAUCCCCAGCCAUUUAAUACCUGGGUGGAACCCACAUCUUACUACAUAAUACAUUUCCUGUAUUAUGAAAUCACUUCAGUAAGGAUUGCUCUUGUUACAGUAGAAGCUUCAAGUUUAAGCUGAAGAACUCUCCAGUAGAAGGUGGUAUAAUCAGAGGCUAUGGGCACAGUACUAGAGUUAUAUUACUUGGGUUCAAAACUUUUUUUACACCACUUACAUUCUGUUAGCCUGAGCAAUUUUUCUAAUUUCUCGGUGCCUCAAAAUUUAUCAGGGAUAAACAGGCAAAAAAUAGCAGUUCUUUUAGA
Molecule: long non-coding RNA, 1345 nt
Organism: Eubalaena glacialis (North Atlantic right whale)
Lineage: Eukaryota; Metazoa; Chordata; Mammalia; Artiodactyla; Balaenidae
Exons: 6
Source: RefSeq, a predicted model, not a curated record